RNAcentral lists this ribosomal RNA (490 nucleotides) under uncultured Polaribacter sp. RNAcentral's name for it is "bacterial SSU rRNA". It matches the Rfam family "Bacterial small subunit ribosomal RNA", at positions 35 to 524 of the family's 1533-position model. Lineage: Bacteria; Pseudomonadati; Bacteroidota; Flavobacteriia; Flavobacteriales; Flavobacteriaceae. The record is from RNAcentral.
GGCAUGGGGCAGCUUACACGUGCAGUCGAGGGGUAACAUUGUGCUUGCACAGAUGACGACCGGCGCACGGGUGCGUAACGCGUAUAGAACCUACCUUUUACAGAGGAAUAGCCUUUAGAAAUGAAGAUUAAUGCCUCAUAGUAUUGUAGACUGGCAUCAGUUUAUAAUUAAAGAUUUAUCGGUAAAAGAUGGCUAUGCGUCCUAUUAGUUAGUUGGUAAGGUAACGGCUUACCAAGACAGCGAUAGGUAGGGGUCCUGAGAGGGAGAUCCCCCACACUGGUACUGAGACACGGACCAGACUCCUACGGGAGGCAGCAGUGAGGAAUAUUGGACAAUGGAGGAGACUCUGAUCCAGCCAUGCCGCGUGUAGGAAGAAUGCCCUAUGGGUUGUAAACUACUUUUAUACAGGAAGAAACACUGGUAUGUAUACCAGCUUGACGGUACUGUAAGAAUAAGGACCGGCUAACUCCGUGCCAGCAGCCGCGGUAAC